GACGAACGCUGGCGGCGGGCUUAACACAUGCAAGUCGAACGGAAAGGCCCUGCUUGUGUGGGGUGCUCGAGUGGCGAACGGGUGAGUAACACGUGAGUAACCUGCCCUUGACUUGGGGAUAACUUCAGGAAACUGGUGCUAAUACCUGAUAGGAGCUCCUGCUGCAGGGUGGGGGUUGGAAAGUUUCGGCGGAUGGGGAUGGACUCGGGGCUUAUCAGCUUGUUGGUGGGGUAGUGGCUUACCAAGGCUUUGACGGGUAGCCGGCCUGAGAGGGUGACCGGCCACAUUGGGACUGAGAUACGGCCCAGACUCCUACGGGAGGCAGCAGUGGGGAAUAUUGCACAAUGGGCGGAAGCCUGAUGCAGCAACGCCGCGUGCGGGAUGACGGCCUUCGGGUUGUAAACCGCUUUCGCCUGUGACGAAGCGUGAGUGACGGUAAUGGGUAAAGAAGCACCGGCUAACUACGUG
RNAcentral lists this ribosomal RNA (468 nucleotides) under uncultured bacterium. RNAcentral describes it as "partial 16S ribosomal RNA". It matches the Rfam family "Bacterial small subunit ribosomal RNA", at positions 28 to 507 of the family's 1533-position model. The record is from RNAcentral.